GGUGUUGUAUUUUAAUAAAAAAAUUAACUUUGCACGUUAAAAUUGGUUUACACCCAACACCU
Molecule: transfer RNA, 62 nt
Filed under: Hiatella arctica
Lineage: Eukaryota; Metazoa; Mollusca; Bivalvia; Adapedonta; Hiatellidae
Description: tRNA-Ala
Source: RNAcentral